AAAUUGAAGAGUUUGAUCAUGGCUCAGAUUGAACGCUGGCGGCAGGCCUAACACAUGCAAGUCGAACGGUAGCACAGAGAGCUUGCUCUCGGGUGACGAGUGGCGGACGGGUGAGUAAUGUCUGGGAAACUGCCCGAUGGAGGGGGAUAACUACUGGAAACGGUAGCUAAUACCGCAUAACGUCGCAAGACCAAAGUGGGGGACCUUCGGGCCUCACACCAUCGGAUGUGCCCAGAUGGGAUUAGCUAGUAGGUGGGGUAACGGCUCACCUAGGCGACGAUCCCUAGCUGGUCUGAGAGGAUGACCAGCCACACUGGAACUGAGACACGGUCCAGACUCCUACGGGAGGCAGCAGUGGGGAAUAUUGCACAAUGGGCGCAAGCCUGAUGCAGCCAUGCCGCGUGUAUGAAGAAGGCCUUCGGGUUGUAAAGUACUUUCAGCGAGGAGGAAGGCGUUGUGGUUAAUAACCACAGCGAUUGACGUUACUCGCAGAAGAAGCACCGGCUAACUCCGUGCCAGCAGCCGCGGUAAUACGGAGGGUGCAAGCGUUAAUCGGAAUUACUGGGCGUAAAGCGCACGCAGGCGGUUUGUUAAGUCAGAUGUGAAAUCCCCGGGCUCAACCUG
RNAcentral lists this ribosomal RNA (624 nucleotides) under Salmonella enterica subsp. enterica serovar Kentucky. RNAcentral describes it as "bacterial SSU rRNA". It matches the Rfam family "Bacterial small subunit ribosomal RNA", at positions 1 to 616 of the family's 1533-position model. The record is from RNAcentral. Lineage: Bacteria; Pseudomonadati; Pseudomonadota; Gammaproteobacteria; Enterobacterales; Enterobacteriaceae.